CCCAGGCCAGCAAACGAUGCAAUAACUUCACUGGAGCUACUCUUGAUUGACACUUACAUAAGUGAAAUCGGGGUCAGACCUUGCAUUUCUGCCCUCAUGGACAUCUCCCUGAAUUCACAGUGACAACAGUGGAAGACUUUAUUCACAUAUACAGAGUAGAAGAUGGUAUGAGGGAAAUUCUGCAAAUCAGAAAUUCUUUUACCAACAAUUAAAAAUGAAAGAAGUCUGAAAUCCUUUGCAUCUCUGGUAAAAGUCUCAUGGAAGAAGGUUAAAAAGCAUGGAGAUCUCACUGUGGACACACACCAAUAAACAAAGAAAACAGCUUCUCCCGCUACUCUCUCCCCCUGCUCCCCAUCUGAAAAAAAAAAAAUCUAGAUGACCUCUGCUUCCCCCCUGGAAUGGGAAACACCCUGCUGGUAUCAGUUGGUGUGGAAGGAAGAACGACCAACUGGGACACAGCCUCAUUUCCAUGUGCUUGUAGGGCAAGAUCUAGACACAAACAAGAAAUAUAGAGGGAUUUUUUUUUAAAUUCUUCUAAUAUCUCCACGAGAUGUUUUGGUUUGCCUUUUUCCUUUAGAUUUACAGCUGCUUAUAGGAAUACUAACAUCUUACAAAAGGCAUUAGCGUACAUAACAGACUCUGUCCAUCUCACAAGAAGAUAAAAUAAAGAACUGGCCUCUAUCAGAUGGGAACAAAAAAGACAUAUGAUGCUUAAUAAAGAUAAAACUCUUACUUUAUAAUGAAACACAUAUCUGUGCUUCAUGUGCAAGUUGAUCAUGCAAACUGACCAACAUAAUCGGCAAUCACGUGUUACAGUAUGGGAUGGUUUCAUUUUAUUAGACAUCUGGAAAAAAAAAAUCAAGCAUGGAGUGCCACAGAAAGGCCCUGCACUGAUAUUUCAUCUCUGAAGUCUUGGAGUCAAAUGUUAGGAGAGCCGUUUGGCGGACCUCAAGCGCGCAAUGGCAUGAAGACACAGUGGAUGAGCGGGCAGCGCGACGCAAGCGUAAAGCCAGGAGUGCGCCAACAUGACCGUGUCGACACAGCAGAGAGCAUGGGUAGUACAUGCUUUAUUUCCUCAUGCUUAGAAUAGGAGGUAAACAUGGCAUCAAAUGAGCUGCAGGCUGCUAACUAGGGGAAAGGUGAGUUUGUGUAGCCAUUCUAUAAAUAACCGUAUUUUAAAAGGCAAGAUUAUGCCAAGGCGGAUAUUGUGAAGAAACAGAAUAGAAAAUGGCAUUUUUUUAACAGAUAACACAUAUUUGCUACAAAAUGGGACUGUAACGUGUUCCCUAGCGUGACUACCUGGGGUGUAUGUGAUUUUUUGGUACUUAGGUCAGUGAAUCUGUCCUUUAAAGGAAGCUCUGUAAGUGAUCUAGUCUGUGCUUGUGCUGGAGAAACAACCCACUCCAAAAGAAAAAGAUCAAUGGUCAGGAUACACCUUUGUUAAAAUAUUUAACAUUUGUUAAAAUGUUCAACAUCUUGGUUUAGAUCCAAGAUAGAUAAGGUGAAAAAACCACUCUUCUUUUGGUGUCUUCACUGUCGUAAGACAUACAUUUUGGACUCUCUUUCAUGUAGAAAGUGGCCCUUUCAAAUCAGUUGACGUUAGGUUAGCCUGCCACAGAGCAGGAUGAAGCCUUAUUUAUUCAAAACAUCCACUGUCAGUGAGGACAACUGGUUCACAGAGCUGAGACAUAUGACCUUCUACAAUUUCCUCUGACAUUCAUGGUGUAGAAGGUUUCCUGGGGUAAACAAUGGUUUAUAAAUGUAGUUGUUUAAAUAAGUUCUUCUCCUACAAGUAAUCCAGGUAGUCUUUUGCCAGUUAUUUCUGUCUGGAAUGAUAGCAGGUGUCUUCUCUUUGUUCAGAGUUAAUCUUUUGAAAAUAUUCCUUAAUAAUACCUGUUUCAGGACGUUGCACUUCACUGUUGUGAAGUGUAAGUGCCCAUGCAAAGAAAACCACACACCACAGAAAGGUUUUCCUUUCUGAAACGAAUUUCCCAGAACCCAAGAAAAGUAAAAAGCAACCUAAUAGCUCUGGAAAGCAUCAUUAGCAAGGCUUCAUCUGCAGCUCAAUGCCUAGUUUGGGGAACUGCCAUUCAAGAAAGAUCUGACUCAAUUAGAUGCUGUUCCAGGCAGGAGAAGGAUCACAGUCUUAGUCUACAGAGCAGCAGAGCGAGAAGAAAGUUUUUCCAGGACAUAAAGGACUCUUGCGUAGAGGAUACAAAUAAACUUCUGCAUGUUGGUGGUGAGCACUAUGAAAUGUAUUUCUUUCUGUCCAUUUGAAGUAAUGAUUGUAAAUUGCAGCAACAAAUAUUUAGACUGGACACUAGGAAAAAAAAUCUAAAUGUAAGAACCCAGAAACUCUGGUGUGGAUUCCCUGCGGAGGCUGAUGCAUUUCCAGCUCUGCAUGUUUGUAGGUUUGACAAACACGUCAGGGAUGAUAUCAGUAAAGCAAAUCUUGGCUUGGGAUAUGAGAAUAGAUUAGAUGAGCUCUAGAGGUCCCUCACAACCCUUUUGUGAUGAUUCCCUGACAAGGACACAGAAAAUCAUGCAUGAUAUAAAUAAAAUACUCCAGCAUCAGUGAUCAAACCCAAAUCCAUAGAUUGGAUUAUGGCAUGGUAUAUACAUAUGUAUAGCUCUUCUUCACUCCAGACGGGCAGAAUUUGGCCUGAUAUUUAUCCUAGCAGAAAGUAAAUGACGCCAGACUGCCAAAACCACAGCAUACACAGAGAAGAAAGGGAAGGAGCAUUCUGCAAAAAUACUUUUUAUUUUGAAACAGUGUAUGUAUGUAGCAUAAUAUCUUUCAUAGCCAUUAGUGUUUGUUAAGAUUAGCUUGUCUUAGCAACCAGUUCUAAAAACAGAGCGCGGGCUUGCACAAACCUCAUCAUAUCACAUGCGGGAGGAAGUGAUUUUGUUACUGUGCAGGGACUUCUACUGUAUUCAUUACAGCCAACAGUAGCAAACAAGCAUACAGUAGUUUGAGGUUAGCAUUUCUUCUUCUGUAACAUUUCUGUAGAUAGGACAGUAUAAGUAAUAACACACUCCCUAUUAUAAUGAUAAUACAUCAUCUAUUGGUAUUUUGAGUUUUGAACAUUUAAAAGCCCCAUCACGUUGCUGAUGUUCUAUGCUAAGAAAUGUCAAUAGUUGAAAAUAUUAUUUUCCGUAUGUAUUAGUCUGCAUUGCUCCAAUCUCCUUGUCUUCAUUUAUCUUUCCGAGUUUUAGUUUUGACCUGCAUAUUUUGUUGAAAUAUAUACCAUGUAAUAAAGAGAAUAACGGUUUGCAUCACAAAACAGUGGGAUGGUAUCUGGCACUACGAUACCAGUGGAGGAACACGUAUGUUCUGUCUGAUAGAGAACUAAAUGUCACUGUUCAGCUCUUGCUGUCCACGUGUUUGGAUCUGACAAUGUUAGGAAAGAUUGGUCUAUUUCAGGAAAGCAAACAUUAACAUUAAUUAGACACGCUGAGAUAAUUUAUAAUGUUUCUUUAUUUUUACUUAAGUUCGCCUUACUAAGAACUGAACUUUAUUGCAGGACUUUUGAAUCGAGACUGUCUGCCCCUGUGGGUCCGCAUUCUUGCUUCAGUACAAAUUGCUGAUGGAAUGAAAAUCAGCAUAUGAUAUAAAUUAUAUACAUUCAAAGAUAGCUAGUAGAAGAUGAGAGGGGGAAAGGAAAGGAGCAGGAAAAGAGACCAGAAAUCAGAGAAGAAAUGCCUUAAAAAUAUUGCAAAGCUACCUCAAUCCAGAACUCUCUAAACUGUUGGAAAAGUUGCUAGCAGAACACAAAGAUCAAGUUAGGAAUGACUAAAUUGGGUAAGAAAAUGUGUUAAAUUGCAGUUGGCCAUAAUGGACUUACUAAGGAGAGAAGCGUCGAAGACUUAAAACUGUCACAGCCGUGAAAUAUCUUAGAGAAUGAAUCUUGCUGAAAAAUACCUCUCCAAAGAUUUUGCACAGUUGUUUGCCUGAAGGAAGCGAUGAAACUUAAUGGUUGAGUGAAAACUAAUUUAACAUCUACAUUUGAAAAAAGAGCGGCAACUCUUCUGCUCAGUGACUCCCGAGAAGCCUAGAAACCAGCUUUCAAUCAGUGGGAGAUGUUACUGUUCACAAUCAGUUUAUCUAUAUGUUAAAGUUACCUUGUUUCCCCUUAGAUGUUGGGCAUCAUGCAAGAAUUCAUUACUAGGUCAUUUACAAUGAACCCACUGCAAGAUGCCAUAUGUCCAUUAAUACGGGAAAUCAGCUCAAUCACAAUGAUGCUCUCAAACACUAAUUUUAGCAGUUUUAAAGAAAAUAAAUGUUUUUAUUAUUGUUCUCUUUCAGUUGAUUUUCCUAAAAUAUUUUUCCCGAGUAAUUCCUUUUUAGCCUCCCUGUGGCAAUGCAGCACACUCAUGUUUUGAGGGAUCAUGCUCUGGAAAGCUGACGCUGCGCUGCUGGUGGUGACGUACUACUACCUGAGGUUCGACUAGAAAACCAUUUAAUCCCGUUUCUUCUUAAAUUAUCAAAAUAAUGCUAAUAAUUGCCCUCAUGUUAUCGAAAACCAGGCAGCACAGCAGCUUUUCCCUGGGGGAAACACAGAGUCAGUCACCUAGCGGGAACUUCUACGCAAACAUUUGCGCGGAUCAAAUAAACCCUCAGAGUCGACUUGAGGAAAAGCAAGUGGAGGCAUGCAGCGAUGUCUGAUCGCUCCGUGAUGCGGCUCUGCAUCCCCAGCUUUAGAGGCGGCUUGUUGCUUCCAGUUUCCUCGACGCUGGCUUGAGCUUUUUAACCCGACCGUGACGUUUCUCCUCCUGGUCCGCGCUCACGGCUCACGCUCUCGCCGCGGAGGCAGCC
This is a non-coding RNA of Struthio camelus australis, 4816 nucleotides long. Lineage: Eukaryota; Metazoa; Chordata; Aves; Struthioniformes; Struthionidae. The record is from RefSeq and is a predicted model, not a curated record.